UAAUAGUGUAUAUUAAAGUUGUUGCAGUUAAAAAGCUCGGAGUUGAAUGUUGGUGUCGAACGAGCGGUCAGCUUCGGCUGUACUGCUCUCUCGACUCCUUCCUUCUGUGGACUACGUCGCACUUUACUGUGUGGCGCUAGGACGCAGAUCGUUUACUGUGAAAAAAUUAGAGUGUUCAAAGCAGGCCGUACGCUUGAAUACAUUAGCAUGGAAUAAUGGAAUAGGACGUCGGGCCUAUUUUGUUGGUUCUAGGACCGUCGUAAUGAUUAAUAGGGACAGUUGGGGCCGUUUAUAUUCCGUAGUCAGAGGUGAAAUUCUUGGAUUUACGGAAGAUAAACUACUGCGAAAGCAUUCGGCAAGGAUGUUUUCGUUAA
This 374-nucleotide ribosomal RNA is filed under the name uncultured eukaryote. Its description in RNAcentral is "partial 18S ribosomal RNA". It matches the Rfam family "Eukaryotic small subunit ribosomal RNA", at positions 592 to 976 of the family's 1831-position model. The record is from RNAcentral.